AGAUUAAGUUAUUAAGGGCGCACGGUGGAUGCCUUGGCACUAGAAGCCGAUGAAGGACGUUACUAACGACGAUAUGCUUUGGGGAGCUGUAAGUAAGCUUUGAUCCAGAGAUUU
RNAcentral lists this ribosomal RNA (114 nucleotides) under Staphylococcus aureus. Its description in RNAcentral is "partial 23S ribosomal RNA". It matches the Rfam family "Bacterial large subunit ribosomal RNA", at positions 1 to 113 of the family's 2925-position model. Lineage: Bacteria; Bacillati; Bacillota; Bacilli; Caryophanales; Staphylococcaceae. The record is from RNAcentral.